This 77-nucleotide transfer RNA is filed under the name Puniceicoccales bacterium. RNAcentral describes it as "tRNA-Val". It matches the Rfam family "tRNA". Rfam says of the family: Transfer RNA (tRNA) molecules are approximately 80 nucleotides in length. Their secondary structure includes four short double-helical elements and three loops (D, anti-codon, and T loops). Further hydrogen bonds mediate the characteristic L-shaped molecular structure. tRNAs have two regions of fundamental functional importance: the anti-codon, which is responsible for specific mRNA codon recognition, and the 3' end, to which the tRNAs corresponding amino acid is attached (by aminoacyl-tRNA synthetases). tRNAs cope with the degeneracy of the genetic code in two manners: having more than one tRNA (with a specific anti-codon) for a particular amino acid; and 'wobble' base-pairing, i.e. permitting non-standard base-pairing at the 3rd anti-codon position. Lineage: Bacteria; Pseudomonadati; Verrucomicrobiota; Opitutia; Puniceicoccales. The record is from RNAcentral.
GGGGGAUUAGCUCAGUUGGUUAGAGCGUUUGUAUGACACACAAGAGGUCAUUGGUUCGAGCCCAAUAUCUCCCACCA